UCGUCAGGUAGGAUAAUCCAUGGCUCUUCCUCUAACCAGAUGGCAGAGAGAGCACGAUGACUGGAGUUGCAUGAUUUGUGAUUAACAUCCCUGCGUGAGUAGGGCUUGCAACACCCUAAUAGCUCCUAUUUGAU
Small nucleolar RNA from Sorex fumeus (smoky shrew), 134 nucleotides. RefSeq annotates it as U8 small nucleolar RNA. NCBI's taxonomy places the organism in Eukaryota, Metazoa, Chordata, Mammalia, Eulipotyphla, Soricidae. The record is from RefSeq and is a predicted model, not a curated record. The transcript has a single exon.